Molecule: ribosomal RNA, 508 nt
Filed under: uncultured prokaryote
Description: bacterial SSU rRNA
Rfam family: Archaeal small subunit ribosomal RNA
Source: RNAcentral
AAUAGGCGUGAGAGCACAAGCCCUUGGUGCCGUCCGCCAAGGAUGGCUUGGCUCUGCUGUAAGAAGGCGGAGGAAUAAAGAGAGGGCAAGUCUGGUGUCAGCCGCCGCGGUAAUACCAGCUCUCCGAGUGGUAUGGAUGAUUAUUGGGCCUAAAGCGUUCGUAUCCGGCCUUCCAAGUCUUUCGUUAAAUCCAGCGAUUCAAUCGUUGGACUGCGGGAGAUACUGUUAGGCUAGGGGGCGGGAGAAGCCGACGGUAUUUCUGGGGUAGGGGUAAAAUCCUAUAAUCCCAGGAGGACCACCAGUGGCGUAGGCGGUCGGCUAGCACGCGCUCGACGGUGAGGGACGAAAGCUGGGGGAGCAAACCGGAUUAGAUACCCGGGUAGUCCCAGCUGUAAACGAUGCGGGCUAGGUGUUGGAGCGGCUACGAGCCGCUUCAGUGCCGCAGGGAAGCCAUUAAGCCCGCCGCCUGGGGAGUACGGCCGCAAGGCUGAAACUUAAAGGAAUGGCG